RNAcentral lists this small nuclear RNA (20 nucleotides) under Arabidopsis thaliana (thale cress). Its description in RNAcentral is "snRNA_18630". The record is from RNAcentral. Lineage: Eukaryota; Viridiplantae; Streptophyta; Magnoliopsida; Brassicales; Brassicaceae.
GCUGUUAGCUUCCACUGGAA